UACGUAGGGGGCAAGCGUUGUCCGGAAUCAUUGGGCGUAAAGCGCGUGUAGGCGGCCAGAAAAGUCCGCUGUGAAAACUCGAGGCUCAACUUCGAGCUGUCGGUGGAAACUUUCUGGCUAGAGUCCGGAAGAGGAGAAUGGAAUUCCUGGUGUAGCGGUGAAAUGCGCAGAUAUCAGGAAGAACACCCGGGGCGAAGGCGGUUCUCUGGGACGGUACUGACGCUGAGACGCGAAAGCGUGGGGAGCGAACAGG
RNAcentral lists this ribosomal RNA (253 nucleotides) under uncultured bacterium. RNAcentral describes it as "partial 16S ribosomal RNA". It matches the Rfam family "Bacterial small subunit ribosomal RNA", at positions 524 to 776 of the family's 1533-position model. The record is from RNAcentral.